Monodelphis domestica (gray short-tailed opossum) is the source of this 2325-nucleotide non-coding RNA. NCBI's taxonomy places the organism in Eukaryota, Metazoa, Chordata, Mammalia, Didelphimorphia, Didelphidae. The record is from RefSeq and is a predicted model, not a curated record.
UUUUGACAAGUGAAAAAAAAAAAACCAACACUGAGGGCUCUUAGCUCUGUGGCUGUAUUCAGAAUUGGCUUAGACUGUUGUGAGAGUAGCCAUCCCUUUGUGAAGACCCUAUAAGUGUAAAAAAUAGACUCGAAUACAGGACUACAAUCCCCAUGAGCCUUUGCUCCACUUCCCCAGAAUGCCUUGUAAUCUCACCUGGGCCGAGAUCGAGAAGAUAUUUAAGCAAAGGCUUUUGAAGGGCUCGGGCCCUUUUUUGGACUUCCGCGUUUGGAGCAGAGGCGUCUCUUCCAUGAUGUGAGGUUAUUUUGUCUAGGCCUCUGGCCUAGGCACAUGUUUCUUACUUGUAUAUUCUUAAUCUUUAACCUUUAAUAAACCUCUAAAAAAUAUAUAUUCCUUGCAGAGAGAAACUAAUUUCUACCUGCCUCAGUCUCCCCCUCUCCCUUAAAUUUUAAUCUUUACAGUUAUGGCGACCUAAUGGGAAAAAGAACUUUCAGUCUUCUGAUUUCUUUUCUGAUCUUAAAUUCAAUUUUAAUAGCUAGUACCUAGAAAGCGGCCCCGCCGCUUCCUGCCUGCAGCCUGCAGCCCUGAUCAUCCUCACCUGGUACCUGGUCCCGGCCUUGCCCACCCCCGCAGCCGCUCCUGCUCCUGGCCUCUCACCAGCCGCUGCCUGCCUAUUUCUGUGCCCCAGACCCAGGAGCCCGACCCAGCCGGCUCAUCACCCAGAUCCUUGGAGCAGAUCGCUCAGGACUCAUUGCGACCAGCUGUGAUCAUGGCCAGAUACAAAGAGGAAAUGGAUCUCAUUUUUUGGUGAGAAAGCCUUGUAUUUUAUAUUUUCUUAACUGACACAGAGUGUCAAUGGUUAUAAGCUAUAUUUUUAAAUUUUUUAAAGCUCUUUUAUUAUUAUAUUUUUCUUGCAUGUGCAAUAUACUUUUUCAGUUUUUUUUAUUAUUUUUUCUUUCCUUUUUAUAUUUGAAGCACAUGUCACCAGUAUUAAGAUUUUCUUUAACUUUUUGACUUUUCAGUGCUACAAGUUUGAAAUACAUUUGCUAAUGCAUGCCCUAGAAAGCUUGUGACUAUAAAAAUUAUGCCACUAAUUAUUUAAAUAAAUUAUGGGACUUUGCUUAAUGAUUCUGUCUGAUUCUAGGACAAGAUAUACACAAAAGAGCCACUGCAUAGUGCCAAUAGAGCAUAAGGUCAAAGAGACCAACCAAUCCUGGAGAAAUUGACGUCACUUUGAGCCUAGACAAAGAGGACUUGAACGUGUUUGGGGUUCGAGGUUGCGGCUGUUUAACAUGUGUUAAAAGCAGGUCUUCCUUGUUCCACAUUCUACCAAGUACCUCAAACUUGGCUCCCGGAACCUUGGCUUAUAUACUCUGGUCCCCUUUUCUGCCUCUCAUAGUGUGGUAACUUUCUGUAGUCCUGGCUACUGACUGGGUAAAUGCAUCAUUACUUAGAUCAUUUUGAUUGGGCCCUGAUUCAAGGACCUGUUAUAGAUUUAUUUUUCUUCUACUUGGAAUUUUUACACAUAAGACUUUGAUAGUCUAUAUUUUCAUCCAGAAAUUUUUCUUUUCUUUUGGAUUUUCUGGUGUCUUUUUAAUAUCUCUUGCCAAUUGAUUCAUAUACCUCAUACCUCAGCCAUGCAUCCCUAACUGAUUCUGAAUCUUUCAAUCACCCACAACACGGGGGAAUGUAAAAAAUAUCAUUAUUUAAAUUGCAAGUUUAAAUUCCUUUUGAGAAGAAUUUUAGGUGAAGAAGAUGCUACCUCUCUGAAUCCAGAACUGAACUGUUGGAGAAGCCACCAUGAAGAAGCCUCCAGACCACAAGUUGCACAAAAUUGAACUUUGGGUGUGGUUGAUUGAACAUUUAUUUGUAUGUAUACUUUUAUGCCAAAGGGGACUGCCCCCUAACGGCUUUUUGUCAAUGUGUUCAGAAAUUAUUGGUUUUAUUCUUUUUUCUCUUAUCCUCACACUAUUGUAAUCUUUUAAGUUUAUUAUGUUUUUAUGAUCCUUUUGGGGAAAAAUUAAUUUUUCCACAAAUGAUCACACGGGGGGAUGUAAAAAAUAGACUCGAAUACAGGACUACAAUCCCCAUGAGCCUUUGCUCCACUUCCCCAGAAUGCCUUGUAAUCUCACCUGGGCCGAGAUCGAGAAGAUAUUUAAGCAAAGGCUUUUGAAGGGCUCGGGCCCUUUUUUGGACUUCCGCGUUUGGAGCAGAGGCGUCUCUUCCAUGAUGUGAGGUUAUUUUGUCUAGGCCUCUGGCCUAGGCACAUGUUUCUUACUUGUAUAUUCUUAAUCUUUAACCUUUAAUAAACCUCUAAAAAAUAUA